Molecule: transfer RNA, 71 nt
Filed under: Chelonia mydas (Green sea turtle)
Lineage: Eukaryota; Metazoa; Chordata; Testudines; Cheloniidae
Rfam family: tRNA
About the family: Transfer RNA (tRNA) molecules are approximately 80 nucleotides in length. Their secondary structure includes four short double-helical elements and three loops (D, anti-codon, and T loops). Further hydrogen bonds mediate the characteristic L-shaped molecular structure. tRNAs have two regions of fundamental functional importance: the anti-codon, which is responsible for specific mRNA codon recognition, and the 3' end, to which the tRNAs corresponding amino acid is attached (by aminoacyl-tRNA synthetases). tRNAs cope with the degeneracy of the genetic code in two manners: having more than one tRNA (with a specific anti-codon) for a particular amino acid; and 'wobble' base-pairing, i.e. permitting non-standard base-pairing at the 3rd anti-codon position.
Source: Rfam by way of RNAcentral
GGAAGGAUAGUCCAGUGGUUGGGGCACUAGCCUAGGGCUAGGACACCUGGGUUCAAGUCCUGGCUCUACCA